UGGGGAAUUUUGGACAAUGGGCGAAAGCCUGAUCCAGCAAUGCCGCGUGUGUGAAGAAGGCCUUCGGGUUGUAAAGCACUUUUGUCCGGAAAGAAAUCCUUGGCUCUAAUACAGUCGGGGGAUGACGGUACCGGAAGAAUAAGCACCGGCUAACUACGUGCCAGCAGCCGCGGUAAUACGUAGGGUGCAAGCGUUAAUCGGAAUUACUGGGCGUAAAGCGUGCGCAGGCGGUUUGCUAAGACCGAUGUGAAAUCCCCGGGCUCAACCUGGGAACUGCAUUGGUGACUGGCAGGCUAGAGUAUGGCAGAGGGGGGUAGAAUUCCACGUGUAGCAGUGAAAUGCGUAGAGAUGUGGAGGAAUACCGAUGGCGAAGGCAGCCCCCUGGGCCAAGUACUGACGCUCAUGCACGAAAGCGUGGGGAGCAAACAGGAUUAGAUACCCCUGGUAGUCCACGCCCUAAAACGAUGUCAACUAGUUGUUGGGGGAUUCAUUUUCCUUAGUAACGUAGCUAACGCGUGAAGUUGACCGCCUGGGGAGUACGGUCGCAAGAUUAAAACUCAAAUGAAUUGACGGGGU
RNAcentral lists this ribosomal RNA (576 nucleotides) under uncultured bacterium. RNAcentral's name for it is "partial 16S ribosomal RNA". It matches the Rfam family "Bacterial small subunit ribosomal RNA", at positions 355 to 919 of the family's 1533-position model. The record is from RNAcentral.